CGUACUCGUGCAGAAAAAAGGUCUUGUUUAGUUCACCUCCAAAUCCCAACUUUGGCACUAUGCAAAAAGAAGAUUCCCCAUUACAUCAAACUUGCGGUACAUGCAUGGAGUAUUAAAUAUAGACCAAAUUAAAAACUAUUUGUACAGUUUUGUUGUACUUUGCGAGAUGAAUCUUUUGAGCCUAAUUAGUCAAUGUUUGGAUAAUAAUUCACAAAUACAAAUGAAAC
This 227-nucleotide long non-coding RNA is filed under the name Setaria italica (foxtail millet). RNAcentral's name for it is "long non-coding RNA (SITA_LNC000299)". Lineage: Eukaryota; Viridiplantae; Streptophyta; Magnoliopsida; Poales; Poaceae. The record is from RNAcentral.